GCUCACGGUGUCGUAGGGGAGCAGCGGGCCGCGCUGGAUCAGCUCCACCGGGCCUUCCACCGUCAGCUCCGGGUCCGCGGAGGGCAGGCGGCGCCGCGAGAUCUUAGCUUUGACGGCUGCGGAGAGAAAACACGUGUGUGAAUGUCAGAGGGCCUCACCUUUGGAGAAGGCGCUGAUGUGUUUGGGCAGCGGUGUCAGACACGUGUCGUCCUGCGCGGGGAAUCGGUCGCAGUCCAGGGCUUCGGGCCAGGCGUGUCCGUGACAGGCCAGUACAGGAGCGCAGCUCUCCCUCACAGCUACGCACAUGCUCCGACACGGCUGGAUGAACCUGCGGACGCAAGCACACCUGAGUUUAGAGAGAGUCCUCCUUCUGCAGCAUACAGUUAAACUGCUGCUUUCUUCUGCCCAGAGGAGAACGGCACAUUAUUUCCACACACGAUUAAUCCUAAAUUUUUCCCAGACAUGUAAAUAUCCAAAUGAUGUGUCAUUAGUAGCCUUUUGAAAUAAUCAAUAAUAAUUUUUUUUACUUUUUUUUUUUUUUUGGAAAAGUGUAUGAAAAAUCGGUCUCAAACUCUCAGUUGUGACCGGUGUUUGCUGAAUUAACAUGUAUAUGCAGUCAUAAACAUUGUUAUAUAUCUUAGCCCAGCUAUUUGAAACUGUCUGAUCACAUUCUAGGCUUACUAUUAUGCAUAAAACAAAUCCUUAUCCAACACUGACAGAAAUACUGAGAUAAAAGACAAGACAAUUUCAAAACUGUUAUUUUUUGUAACAUAUGUCAUCAAAUGUUUAUAUUAGUGCUACCAGUAUCACAACAUCAGUAUUGUUACAUUUGAACUUUUAAGUAAGUGCAACUUUUUGUCAUUGCAACAUUUUAGUGCGAUCUUCACUAACAGCUGUUGAGGACUACUGUCUAAGUUUAACCCUACCUCGCUUACACGUUUGAAAAUGAUUAACAGUUGAAAACAUUAGAAGUUUAGAAAAGUAUUCAAAUGUGAUCAGGUACAUUAAUAAAGUAAUUGAAAGAGACACACUACUUGUAAUUAACUUGUAAUCUGUAACAUUUCCAAAUUAGCCUUCCCAACACUGUAUAUAAAUACCGGUGAC
This is a long non-coding RNA of Cyprinus carpio (common carp), 1104 nucleotides long. RefSeq lists it as uncharacterized. The record is from RefSeq and is a predicted model, not a curated record. NCBI's taxonomy places the organism in Eukaryota, Metazoa, Chordata, Actinopteri, Cypriniformes, Cyprinidae.